GGCUUGUGUAUGUCAGAUUGGUUUGAUAUUUGGUCUGCAGCUUUAUCAAGGUGAAUUGUACCGUGUCUCCCCUUUUCAGGUCUGUCAUUCGUCUACUUCCCGUUUGACGGGAGCAUCUGUGUCUCAUAGACACAUCUUCUCUGUUUUCUAUUACAGUUUAUACAGGAAAAUUUUGUUGACAAUUUUUUUUUCAUAUGACAAAAUAUUGAGGCAGCAG
This 217-nucleotide long non-coding RNA is filed under the name Mytilus galloprovincialis (Mediterranean mussel). The record is from RNAcentral. Lineage: Eukaryota; Metazoa; Mollusca; Bivalvia; Mytilida; Mytilidae.